RNAcentral lists this ribosomal RNA (1000 nucleotides) under Enterococcus faecium. Its description in RNAcentral is "bacterial SSU rRNA". It matches the Rfam family "Bacterial small subunit ribosomal RNA", at positions 479 to 1533 of the family's 1533-position model. Lineage: Bacteria; Bacillati; Bacillota; Bacilli; Lactobacillales; Enterococcaceae. The record is from RNAcentral.
UAACCCAAAAAGCCCAGGCCUAAUUCCGUCCCACCGCCCCCGGUAAUCGUAGGGUGCCAAGCUUUUUCGGGAUUUUUUGGCCGUAAAGCAAGGCCAGGCGGUUUCUAAAUUUGAAAGGGAAAGCCCCGGGUUCACCCGGGAAGGGCCUUUGGAACCUGGCAGACUUGAGUGCAGAGGAGGAGAGUGGAAUUCCAUGUGUAGCGGUGAAAUGCGUAGAUAUAUGGAGGACCACCGGUGGCGAAGGCGGUUUUCUGUUCUGUAACUGCCGCUGAGGCUGGAAAGCGUGGGGACCAACCAGGAUUAGAUACCCUGGUAGUCCACCCCGUAAACGAUGAGUGUUAGGUGUUGGAGGGUUUCCGCCUUUCAGUGCGGCAGCUAACCCAUUAACCAUUCCCCCUGGGGAGUACGCCCGCAAGGUUGAAACUCAAAGGAAUUGACGGGGGCCCGCCCAAGCGGUGGACCAUGUGGUUUAAUUGGAAGCAACGCGAAGACCCUUACCAGUUCUUGCCAUCCUUUGCCCAUUUUAAGGAAGAGGCUUCCCCUUCGGGGCCAAGGUGCCAGGUGGUGCAUGGUUGUCGUCAGCUCGUGUCGUGAGAUGUUGGGUUAAGUCCCGCAACGAGCGCAACCCUUAUUGUUAGUUGCCAUCAUUCAGUUGGCCAUUCUACCAAGACUGCCGGUACCAACCCGGAGGAAGGUGGGGAGGACGUCAAUUCAUCAUGCCCCUUAUGCCCUGGGCUCCCCACGUGUUCCAAUGGAAGGUCCAACGAGUUGGGAGUUGGGGAGGUUAAGUUAAUUUCUUAAAGCUUUUUUCAGUUCGGAUGCCAGGCUGCAAUUCCCUUCCUUGAUGCCGGAUUCGUUGGUAUUCGGGGAUCACCACCCCGCGUUUAUUUUUUUUCCGUAUUUCUUACUCACCACUCACUACCCCCCUAUAUGUUGUAUAUAGUUCUCGCUCAUGACUCAGUAACUAGAGACAACCUCCUUGAUGAGUUAUCCGUUCCCC